This 257-nucleotide ribosomal RNA is filed under the name uncultured bacterium. RNAcentral's name for it is "partial 16S ribosomal RNA". It matches the Rfam family "Bacterial small subunit ribosomal RNA", at positions 524 to 776 of the family's 1533-position model. The record is from RNAcentral.
UACAGAGACCUCAAGCGUUAUCCGGAAUCAUUGGGCGUAAAGCGUACCGAUAGGUUGUUUAUUAAGUCUUAGGUAAAAGCCGGAAGCUCAACUUCCGCGUUUGCUUAAGAUACUAAUAGACUAGAGGGGCAAAGAGGUGCUUGGAACGAACGGUGUAGUAGUGAAAUGCGUUGAUAUCGUUCGGAACACCGAAAGCGAAGGCAGAGCACUGGGUGCCACCUGACACUGCUAGGACGAAAGCGUGGGGAGCGAAUGGG